Podarcis raffonei (Aeolian wall lizard) is the source of this 128-nucleotide long non-coding RNA. RefSeq lists it as uncharacterized. The record is from RefSeq and is a predicted model, not a curated record. The transcript has 2 exons. NCBI's taxonomy places the organism in Eukaryota, Metazoa, Chordata, Lepidosauria, Squamata, Lacertidae.
AGCUUCAUGGCUGAGUGGGGAUUUGAACCCUGGUUUCCCAGGUCGCAGUGCAGCCUGCUAACCGCUACACCACACAGGCUGUCUGAGUGGAUCAGAGGGAACGAUGUUAAUAAACCCAUGCCAAAGUU